RNAcentral lists this ribosomal RNA (327 nucleotides) under uncultured eukaryote. RNAcentral's name for it is "partial 18S ribosomal RNA". It matches the Rfam family "Eukaryotic small subunit ribosomal RNA", at positions 1470 to 1796 of the family's 1831-position model. The record is from RNAcentral.
CCCUUAGAUGUUCUGGUCCGCACGCGUGCUACACUGAGUGGAUCAGCGGGUCAGCUUGCGCGAAAGCGUUUCCUAAUCUUUAAAUCCGCUCGUUAUGGGGAUUGACGGUUGCAAUUUUCUGUCAUGAACGAGGAAUACCUUGUAAGCGCGGGUCAUCAUCCCGCGCUGAAUACGUCCCUGCCCUUUGUACACACCGCCCGUCGCUACUACCGAUUGAACGGUUUAGUGAGGGCCUCGGAUUGGUCUCGGCCCGCUCUUUACCGGGCGGCGCCGUUGGUCGAGAAGACGCUCGAACUUGAUCGUUUAGAGGAAGUAAAAGUCGUAACA